GGGCUUAUAGGUAAGUGGCAUACCGGUGCAUUCGCAUUGCACAGUCCCGAGUUCGAUUCUCGGUAAGUCCA
This 71-nucleotide transfer RNA is filed under the name Candidatus Colwellbacteria bacterium RIFCSPHIGHO2_12_FULL_44_17. Its description in RNAcentral is "tRNA-Ala". It matches the Rfam family "tRNA". Rfam says of the family: Transfer RNA (tRNA) molecules are approximately 80 nucleotides in length. Lineage: Bacteria; Candidatus Colwelliibacteriota. The record is from RNAcentral. RNAcentral also lists the same sequence under 1 other name.